This 490-nucleotide ribosomal RNA is filed under the name Staphylococcus aureus. Its description in RNAcentral is "bacterial SSU rRNA". It matches the Rfam family "Bacterial small subunit ribosomal RNA", at positions 1 to 473 of the family's 1533-position model. The record is from RNAcentral. Lineage: Bacteria; Bacillati; Bacillota; Bacilli; Caryophanales; Staphylococcaceae.
UUUAUGGAGAGUUUGAUCCUGGCUCAGGAUGAACGCUGGCGGCGUGCCUAAUACAUGCAAGUCGAGCGAACGGAUGAGAAGCUUGCUUCUCUGAUGUUAGCGGCGGACGGGUGAGUAACACGUGGAUAACCUACCUAUAAGACUGGGAUAACUUCGGGAAACCGGAGCUAAUACCGGAUAAUAUUUUGAGCCGCAUGGUUCAAAAGUGAAAGACGGUCUUGCUGUCACUUAUAGAUGGAUCCGCGCUGCAUUAGCUAGUUGGUAAGGUAACGGCUUACCAAGGCAACGAUGCAUAGCCGACCUGAGAGGGUGAUCGGCCACACUGGAACUGAGACACGGUCCAGACUCCUACGGGAGGCAGCAGUAGGGAAUCUUCCGCAAUGGGCGAAAGCCUGACGGAGCAACGCCGCGUGAGUGAUGAAGGUCUUCGGAUCGUAAAACUCUGUUAUUAGGGAAGAACAUAUGUGUAAGUAACUGUGCACAUCUUGAC